RNAcentral lists this ribosomal RNA (253 nucleotides) under uncultured bacterium. RNAcentral's name for it is "partial 16S ribosomal RNA". It matches the Rfam family "Bacterial small subunit ribosomal RNA", at positions 524 to 776 of the family's 1533-position model. The record is from RNAcentral.
UACGUAGGGGGCAAGCGUUGUCCGGAUUUAUUGGGCGUAAAGAGCGUGUAGGCGGCUAGAUAGGUCCGUUGUGAAAACUCGAGGCUCAACCUCGAGACGUCGAUGGAAACCAUCUGGCUAGAGUCCGGAAGAGGAGAGUGGAAUUCCUGGUGUAGCGGUGAAAUGCGCAGAUAUCAGGAAGAACACCCGUGGCGAAGGCGGCUCUCUGGUACGUGACUGACGCUGAGACGCGAAAGCGUGGGGAGCGAACAGG